RNAcentral lists this ribosomal RNA (822 nucleotides) under uncultured eukaryote. Its description in RNAcentral is "SSU rRNA". It matches the Rfam family "Eukaryotic small subunit ribosomal RNA", at positions 629 to 1426 of the family's 1831-position model. The record is from RNAcentral.
CGGUGUUUAACUGGCGUGAUGUGGGACGUCCUACCGGUGGGCUUAGCCUCGCGAGGGGCGGCCCAACUAAUAUCCCGUCGCGGUGCUCUUUACUGAGUGUCGAGUCGGGCCGGUACGUUUACUUUGAACAAAUUAGAGUGCUUAAAGCAGGCUAUCCUCGCCUGAAUACUGCGUGCAUGGAAUAAUGGAAUAGGACCUCGGUUCUAUUUUGUUGGUUUUCGGAACCCCGAGGUAAUGAUUAAUAGGGACAGAUGGGGGCAUUCGUAUUGCGACGUUAGAGGUGAAAUUCUUGGAUCGUCGCAAGACGGACAGAAGCGAAAGCAUUUGCCAAAAAUGUUUUCAUUUAAUCAAGAACGAAAGUUAGAGGUUCGAAGGCGAUCAGAUACCCGCCCUAGUUCUAACCAUAAACGAUGCCAGCUAGCGAUCCGCCGAAAGUUCCUCCGAUGACUCGGCGGGCAGCUUCAGGGAAAACCAAAGCUUUUGGGGUUCCGGGGAGAAGUAUGGUUGCAAAGCUGAACCUAAAGGAAUUGACGGAAGGGCACCACCAGGAGUGGAGCCUGCGGGUUAAAUUGACUCAACACGGGAAACCUCACCAGGCCCAGACACCGGAAGGAUUGACAGAUUGAUAGCUCUUUCUUGAUUCGGUGGGUGGUGGUGCAUGGCCGUUCUUAGUUGGUGGAGCGAUUUGUCUGGUUAAUUCCGAUAACGAACGAGACUCUACCCUGCUAAAUAGGCGUACCUUAUGGUAUCGCGAAGGCCCCCGGCUUCGGUCGGUGGGUUUUUACUACCAACGUACAAACAAAUUUUUAGAGGGACAGGCGG